This 872-nucleotide long non-coding RNA is filed under the name Ictidomys tridecemlineatus (thirteen-lined ground squirrel). RNAcentral describes it as "lncRNA (ENSSTOG00000033860.1)". Lineage: Eukaryota; Metazoa; Chordata; Mammalia; Rodentia; Sciuridae. The record is from RNAcentral.
UCUGCUCUUUCUGUCACUAACUCGUGAUCACCCUUAUCCUUUCCUCUUUCAAUACAGUGGUCAAAAUGCAGGCUCACAUUUUUCUUCGGUUUGGAUUCCCAGGAAGCUAGUGAUGCCCGUUCUUCUAGAGAUGGUAGCUUGUGCAGAGCAGCUGAGACCAGCCGAGCAGGACAAGCCGGAACGUGGGCAGCCGCUUUUCCCAGAUGGUUACAAUACAUUCACAGCUUCUGCCUGGAUACCGUGGGCCAUCCAGCUGCCAUUGGCUGUCCCUCCACAUGUCUUUGCAAGUCCUUUUAUCCACCUGCUGCUCUGGUGGUUUCUGUCCCCAAGUGGGAUUGUUCUGCACAGCCUCUGCUACCCUCCAGAGACUCCACCUGCCUCUCCAUCAAGGGGAGAGGAUUGCAGCUGUGUCUGGUCCUUCCCUGGCCAUCAUCUACCCAAACACCCCUGCUUCCUGGGCUCCUGUGGCACAGACCUCCUCUGGGCCAAGAUGGUGAAGGGUGAACACAAGGAUGCCGCCACGCCAAGUCCUUUUUGGACAUGUAUCCAAUAAAAUCAUGCAACGUGUGAGAACAAAGUGAAGGCUCUUGGGCCCUGGGCCUUGCCUAGAGAAGAAGGGCAAGAAACAGAGGCCCAGGUCCUUCAGGAGGAGUAUUCACAGCGUGGAUGUGCUACCGGACAGCUCCUCAUUCAGGCUCUGGUGUGAAGCAUAAAGUAUGAGGCCCCACUUGGUGUGUGUGUGUGUGUGCAUACACAGGGCCUUGUGCAUGCUGGUAUGCACCACUGAGUUACAUCCCCAGCCCCACUUUUGAAUUAUGAUGAUGAUGGUGUUGAUGAUGAUGAUGAUGGUGAUGAUGAUGGUGAUAAUAAAU